This is a long non-coding RNA of Salvelinus fontinalis (brook trout), 1489 nucleotides long. RefSeq lists it as uncharacterized. The transcript has 2 exons. Lineage: Eukaryota; Metazoa; Chordata; Actinopteri; Salmoniformes; Salmonidae. The record is from RefSeq and is a predicted model, not a curated record.
ACAACGUUUGGUCCGUGCUUCAGUUGAACUUGGCUAUUGUUGACAUAUUGUGCAAGUUUAAUGUGAAUUGCAUCAGCAUUGAAAAUACAAACCUGACAUACAGACCAGCGAACUGAAGUCCGGUUAAUAACACUGUUCUGUGGAUAUUUGUCUCAGUUUACCUACUACAUAAGGACAAAAGCAGAGGACAAGAGAGGAUCUUUAGGAGCACUUACCACAGCCUGAGACAUUUCGGGACAAGGCCUGGGAGAGACAAGAACCACAAGCUGUCAGAGAACAGACCCUGGCAUCCCACAACAUCCCAUAUUCCCGUCAACGCCACGUCUCCCACUAAAUGGCAUGAUGGUACAAAAGCAAGUCGGAGAGGAGAAUACUGAAGCGAAGAAGGCAUAGCUCUUUGGUUCACUGCUAAGGAUUCCCACUUACAUAUUAAGAUACUUUUCUUCUCUGGUUUUUAGAGAGAAGAAAAAAAAGUCUGUCAGCAUUUGCGAGGUUGAGACUCAACAGAACAGAGAGUCUCAGAGAGGCUAAAAAGCUAAAUGAGUUACAUAUCGCUAUUUAGAAGAUUAUGAUUUUCUGUCUUGGAAUCUCUCAGGAGUUUUUUGGUGUUUGUGUUGCCCACAACUGCUGAAAGAAGAUGAAUUGAUGAACGUUUUGUUAGAAUGAGGGCAAUUUGAGUUCUGACGGUUAUGAAAUAAAUCAGAUGUAUAUUAACAGACAUAAAGGGAUGAUGUAAUACAUCUGAAUACUACAAAAGAAAGAGGGCUGAUUGUUUUGUUUUAGCACUGCCAACAUUUCUUUACUAUUUUAUUUGAAUUGUAUUUAACCUUUAUUUAACUAGGCAAGUCAUAUAUAUUUCUUGACUAGACCAAUUCAUAUUAGCCAUUUUCUAAAUAUCCAUUCAGGCAAAAUAUAUUUCAUAUCAAGUUAAUGAAAAGGCAGACAAGUAAACUGCAGUUAGCCCAGAACAGAGCAGCACGGCUGGCCCUUAAAUGUACACAGAGAGUUAACAUCAAUGACAUGCAUAUCAAUCUCUCCUGGCUCAAAGUAGAGGAGAGAUUGACUGCAUCACCUACUCGUCUUUGUGAGAUGUAUUGACAUGUUGAAGGUACCCAGCUGUCUGUUCAAACGACUAGCACAGAGCUCAGACACCCAUGCAUACCCCACGAGACAUUCCACCAGUGGUCUCUUCACAGAUUAAAAAAACAGAUAAAACUACUAUGGAACAAUGCGGACUGUGAAGAGACACAGACACACACACACGCAUACUCACACAUGCUAGCACAUGCAAUCUAUAAACGCAUCCAUUUUAAAUAUUGUUGAAUGGUGUAAUUAUGCAUGUUGUGUUAUAGAUAUGUAGUGGAUAAAUGAUGUUAUAUGAUGUACUGUUUUAUUUUUAUUUUGUUUAUUUUGUGAUGUGCCUUAAUGCGCCUGGACACCAGGAAGAGUAUGCAAUGGAGAUCCAUAAUAAAUACAAAUACAAAUAUAA